GUUAUUAGCUGGUAAAAACAAACAGCAAUUAAAAGCUAUCUUAUUUGAGCCAACCUAGCUAGCCCUAAUACGUAUUAUGCGGUUUCUAUAUGCUUAUUGAAGAUUUGACCUUUGACAAUAAUCGGCGCCAGAGGGAACACCUAAAGGAAUGAACGAACGAGUUGAAGUUGAAGUUGAAGGUGACAGGAGGAGGAUAGUCACGAUGCCAGAGGGAACGCCGAAAGGAAUCAAGUAGUUGAAGUUGAAUGUUA
This 251-nucleotide long non-coding RNA is filed under the name Medicago truncatula (barrel medic). RNAcentral describes it as "lncRNA gene12822". The record is from RNAcentral. Lineage: Eukaryota; Viridiplantae; Streptophyta; Magnoliopsida; Fabales; Fabaceae.